Helianthus annuus (common sunflower) is the source of this 1624-nucleotide non-coding RNA. The record is from Rfam. NCBI's taxonomy places the organism in Eukaryota, Viridiplantae, Streptophyta, Magnoliopsida, Asterales, Asteraceae.
CUACUGGUUGAUCUGCCAGUGUCAUUGCUUGUUCAAGAUUAGCCAUGCAUGUGUAAGUAUGAACAAAUUCAGAUGUGAAACUGCGAAUGGUAUUAUCAGUUAUAGUUUGUUUGUGGUAUCUUGCUACUCGGAUACGUGUAAUUCUAGGCUAAUACGUGCAACAAACCCGACUUCUGGAAGGGAUGCAUUUAUUAGAUAAAAGGUCGCGGGGCUUUGCCCGUUGCUGCGAUGAUUCUGUAAUCGACGGAUCGCACGGCCUUGUGCGGCGAGCAUAUUAAUUUCUGCCCUAUCACUUUCGAUGGUGGAUAGUGGCUCUAUGGUGGUGACGGGUGAGGAGAAUUAGGUUGAUUCCGGAGAGGGAGCUGAGAAACGGUACCAUCCAAGGAGGCAGAGGCGCGCAAUUACCCAAUCUGCACGGGGAGUAGUGAAUAAAUAACAAUACGGGCUCAUACGGUCUGGUAAUUGGAAUGAGUACAAUCUAAUCUUAACGAGGUCAUUGGAGGGCAAGUCUUGGUGCCAGCCGCGGUAUUCCAGCUCCAAUAGCGUAUAUUUAGUUGUUGCGUUAAAGUCGUAGUUGGACUUUGGGUUGGGUCGGCGGUCGCAUCAGGUGUGCACCGGUUUACUCGUCCCUUUGUCGGCGAUGCGUCUACCUUAACUGGGGGGGUCGUGCUCCGGCGUUGUUAUUUGAAGAAUUAGAGUGCUCAGCAGCUACGCUUGUAUAUUUAGCAUGGGAAAUCAUGGAUUUCCGGUCUAUUCGUUGGCUUCGGGAUCGGAGUAAUGAUUACAGGGACAGUCGGGGGCUUCGUAUUUCAUGUCAGAGGUGAAUUCUUGGAUUAUGAAGACGAACAAUGCGAAAGAUUUGCCAAGGAUGUUUUCAUUAUCAAGAAGAAGUUGGGGCUGAAGCGAUCAGAUACCGUCCUAGUCUCACCAUACGAUGCGACAGGGAUCAGCGGAUGUUGUUUUAGGAUCGCUGGCCUUAUGAGAAUCAAGUUUUUGGGUUCGGGGGGAGUAUGGUCGCAAGGCUGAACUUAAGGAUUGCGGAGGGACAGGAGUGGAGCUGCGGCUUAUUUGACUCAACGGGGAAUUACAGGUCAGCAUGUAGGAUUGAAGACUGGAGUCUUUCUUGAUUUAUGGGUGGUGGUGCAUGGCGUUCUUAGUUGGUGGAGCGAUUUGUCUGGUUAUUCCGUUAACGAACGAGACUAGCUGCUAAUAGCUUGUGGAGUAUCCUCCAUGGCAGCUUCUUAGGGACUAUGGCUUUUAGGCCCGGAGUUUGAGGCAAUAAGGUCUGUGAUGCCUUAGAUGUUCUGGGCGCACGGCGCUACACUGAUGUAUUCACGAGUAUAUAGCCUUGGCCGACAGGCCCGGGAAUCUUUGAAUUUCAUCGUGAUGGGGAUAGAUAUUGCAUUGUUGGUCUUAACGGGAAUUCUGUAGCGGUUCUCUCGCGUUGAUACGUCCUGCCUUUGUACCACGGCCCGUCGUCCUACGAUUGAAUGGUCCGGUGAAGUGUUAGGAUGUGGCGAGUGGGCGGUUCGCUGCCCGCGACGUCGCGAGAUUCACUGAACCUUAUCAUUUAGAGGAAGGGAAGUCGUACAAGGUUUCGUAGGUGAACUGCGGAGGAUCAUUG